CCCACUGCCUAGAUUAUGUUGCAAUGUUGCAGUUGUAAUGGGAAGAUACUAGCAGAAGUAGGAGAAAAGGCCUGUGGAAUAUGUCCAUAUUUGCAUUUGAGAAACAACACUGGCUGCUCUCUGAAGAGACUAUGCGGAGCAGAAACAAAGCAAGCUGGUGCAUGAUCACCUAUCUCAGCUUUCAAGAGAGUCUGAACAUUAUUUCCCAACCACAAAAGACCCACCUCCACAACUGGGAAGGAAUGGAUCUGCAACCCAUUUGUGAAUAAGCCAGGUGAAUUGACUUUGUCUGUGCUGGAAGAGGAUCAACUGCUUGAAAUCGCAAAUCGAGGUGGCCUUAAAAGUAUGUUUGAGACAACUUCAAGUCUUUACACAUUCUGGAUUAAAGUCAAGGCAAAAUAUACUGAGAUUGCCACGAAAGCACUGAAAAACCUGCUUCUAUUUCCAACAUCCUAUCUUUGUGAAGCAGGGUUUUCUGCAGUGACAGCAACCAAAAUAAGAUUACAGAGUAGACUGGACAUAAGCAACACACUUGGGGUGU
RNAcentral lists this long non-coding RNA (541 nucleotides) under Homo sapiens (human). RNAcentral's name for it is "HSALNT0361799". The record is from RNAcentral. Lineage: Eukaryota; Metazoa; Chordata; Mammalia; Primates; Hominidae.